GUCCAGCGAGCCGCGGUAAUACCGGCAGCUCGAGUGAUGGCCGAUCUUAUUGGGCCUAAAGCGUUCGUAGCCGGCCACGCAAGUCCAUCGGGAAAUCCGUCAGCCCAACUGACGGGCGUCCGGUGGAAACUGCGUGGCUUGGGACCGGAAGACCCGAAGGGUACGUCUUGGGUAGGAGUGAAAUCCCGUAAUCCUGGACGGACCGCCGAUGGCGAAAGCACUUCGGGAAGACGGAUCCGACGGUGAGGAACGAAAGCCAGGGUCUCGAACCGGAUUAGAUACCCGGGUAGUCC
This 293-nucleotide ribosomal RNA is filed under the name uncultured bacterium. RNAcentral's name for it is "partial 16S ribosomal RNA". It matches the Rfam family "Archaeal small subunit ribosomal RNA", at positions 456 to 747 of the family's 1478-position model. The record is from RNAcentral.